GACGAACGCUGGCGGCGUGCCUAAUACAUGCAAGUCGAACGAAUCAAUAGGAGCUUGCUCCUGUUGGUUAGCGGCGGACGGGUGAGUAACACGUGGGCAACCUGCCUGUAAGACUGGGAUAACUUCGGGAAACCGGAGCUAAUACCGGAUAAUCCUUUUCCACUCAUGUGGAAAAGCUGAAAGUCGGUUUCGGCUGACACUUACAGAUGGGCCCGCGGCGCAUUAGCUAGUUGGUGAGGUAACGGCUCACCAAGGCGACGAUGCGUAGCCGACCUGAGAGGGUGAUCGGCCACACUGGGACUGAGACACGGCCCAGACUCCUACGGGAGGCAGAAGUAGGGAAUCUUCCGCAAUGGACGAAAGUCUGACGGAGCAACGCCGCGUGAGCGAUGAAGGCCUUCGGGUCGUAAAGCUCUGUUGUUAGGGAGGAACAAGUAUCGGAGUAACUGCCGGUACCUUGACGGUACCUAACCAGAAAGCCACGGCUAACUACGUGCCAGCAGCCGCCGUAA
Molecule: ribosomal RNA, 512 nt
Filed under: uncultured bacterium
Lineage: Bacteria
Description: partial 16S ribosomal RNA
Rfam family: Bacterial small subunit ribosomal RNA
Source: RNAcentral